This 702-nucleotide ribosomal RNA is filed under the name uncultured archaeon. RNAcentral describes it as "bacterial SSU rRNA". It matches the Rfam family "Archaeal small subunit ribosomal RNA", at positions 201 to 905 of the family's 1478-position model. The record is from RNAcentral.
GCGCGAGGAUGGGGCUGCGUCCCAUCAGGCAGUUGGUGGGGUAAUGGCCCACCAAACCUAUAACGGGUACGGGCCGUGAGAGCGGGAGCCCGGAGAUGGGCACUGAGACAAGGGCCCAGGCUCUACGGAGCGCACCAAGCGCGAAACCUUCGCAAUGCGGGAAACCGUGACGGGGCCAUCCCGAGUGCAGGCUGCUGAGGCCUGCUUUUGCCCAGUGUAAGAAGCUGGGCGAAUAAGUGGGGGGCAAGACUGGUGUCAGCCGCCGCGGUAAUACCAGCUCCACGAGUGGUCAGGACGGUUAUUGGGCCUAAAGCGUCCGUAACCGGCCCGGUAAGUUUAUGGUGAAAUCCGGCAUCUCAAGUGUCGGAGCGCUGUAAAUACUGCCGGGCUAGGGAGCGGGAGAGGCCGAGGGUACCUCCGGGGUAGGGGCGAAAUCCUAUAAUCCCGGAGUGACGACCAGUGGCGAAAGCGCUCGGCUAGAACGCGUCCGACGGUGAGGGACGAAAGCUGGGGUAGCAAACCGGAUUAGAUACCCGGGUAGUCCCAGCCGUAAACUAUGCGGGCUAGUUGUCGGAACGGCUUAGGGCCGCUCCGGUAACGCAGGGAAGCCAUUAAGCCCGCCGCCUGGGGAGUACGACCGCAAGGUUGAAACUUAAAGGAAUUGGCGGGGGAGCACCACAAGGGGUGAAGCUUGCGGCUCAA